Long non-coding RNA from Juglans microcarpa x Juglans regia, 201 nucleotides. RefSeq lists it as uncharacterized. The record is from RefSeq and is a predicted model, not a curated record. Lineage: Eukaryota; Viridiplantae; Streptophyta; Magnoliopsida; Fagales; Juglandaceae. The transcript has 3 exons.
CAUUCCAUUUCUCCUCAAUCUCGAGCCAAGCUUCCAAUCUUCUCCCUUCUCAAGAGGGAAAUAGUAAGCUAAGGGUUUCGUAUAUCCUCUAUUUUCCUAAGCCGAAUCUAUCUCCAUCCUCCUCAUUUUCGUGCUUUGGAAGGAUUUCACCAAAGGAGUUUAUUUUCAAGUUCAAAGGAAUUCACUAGUAAAGCUCCCAGG